This 679-nucleotide ribosomal RNA is filed under the name Escherichia coli. Its description in RNAcentral is "bacterial SSU rRNA". It matches the Rfam family "Bacterial small subunit ribosomal RNA", at positions 1 to 669 of the family's 1533-position model. Lineage: Bacteria; Pseudomonadati; Pseudomonadota; Gammaproteobacteria; Enterobacterales; Enterobacteriaceae. The record is from RNAcentral.
AAAUUGAAGAGUUUGAUCAUGGCUCAGAUUGAACGCUGGCGGCAGGCCUAACACAUGCAAGUCGAACGGUAACAGGAAACAGCUUGCUGUUUCGCUGACGAGUGGCGGACGGGUGAGUAAUGUCUGGGAAACUGCCUGAUGGAGGGGGAUAACUACUGGAAACGGUAGCUAAUACCGCAUAACGUCGCAAGACCAAAGAGGGGGACCUUCGGGCCUCUUGCCAUCGGAUGUGCCCAGAUGGGAUUAGCUUGUUGGUGGGGUAACGGCUCACCAAGGCGACGAUCCCUAGCUGGUCUGAGAGGAUGACCAGCCACACUGGAACUGAGACACGGUCCAGACUCCUACGGGAGGCAGCAGUGGGGAAUAUUGCACAAUGGGCGCAAGCCUGAUGCAGCCAUGCCGCGUGUAUGAAGAAGGCCUUCGGGUUGUAAAGUACUUUCAGCGGGAAGGAAGGGAGUAAAGUUAAUACCUUUGCUCAUUGACGUUACCCGCAGAAGAAGCACCGGCUAACUCCGUGCCAGCAGCCGCGGUAAUACGGAGGGUGCAAGCGUUAAUCGGAAUUACUGGGCGUAAAGCGCACGCAGGCGGUUUGUUAAGUCAGAUGUGAAAUCCCCGGGCUCAACCUGGGAACUGCAUCUGAUACUGGCAAGCUUGAGUCUCGUAGAGGGGGGUAGAAUUC